AUUGAACGCUGGCGGCAUGCCUUACACAUGCAAGUCGAACGGCAGCACGGGAGCAAUCCUGGUGGCGAGUGGCGAACGGGUGAGUAAUGUAUCGGAACGUACCUUUCAGUGGGGGAGUAACGUAGCGAAAGUUACGCUAAUACCUCAUAUUCUGUGAGCAGGAAAGCAGGGGAGUCGCAAGACCUUGCGCUGAUUGAGCGGCCGAUAUCAGAUUAGCUAGUUGGUGAGGUAAAGGCUCACCAAGGCGACGAUCUGUAGCGGGUCUGAGAGGAUGAUCCGCCACACUGGGACUGAGACACGGUCCAGACUCCUACGGGAGGCAGCAGUGGGGAAUUUUGGACAAUGGGCGCAAGCCUGAUCCAGCCAUGCCGCGUGAGUGAAGAAGGCCUCGGUUGUAAGAC
RNAcentral lists this ribosomal RNA (401 nucleotides) under uncultured bacterium. Its description in RNAcentral is "bacterial SSU rRNA". It matches the Rfam family "Bacterial small subunit ribosomal RNA", at positions 30 to 431 of the family's 1533-position model. The record is from RNAcentral.